AUUGAACGCUGGCGGCAGGCCUAACACAUGCAAGUCGAACGGUAACAGGAAGCAGCUUGCUGCUUUGCUGACGAGUGGCGGACGGGUGAGUAAUGUCUGGGAAACUGCCUGAUGGAGGGGGAUAACUACUGGAAACGGUAGCUAAUACCGCAUAACGUCGCAAGACCAAAGAGGGGGACCUUCGGGCCUCUUGCCAUCGGAUGUGCCCAGAUGGGAUUAGCUUGUUGGUGGGGUAACGGCUCACCAAGGCGACGAUCCCUAGCUGGUCUGAGAGGAUGACCAGCCACACUGGAACGGGGACACGGUCCAGACUCCUACGGGAGGCAGCAGUGGGGAAUAUUGCACAAUGGGCGCAAGCCUGAUGCAGCCAUGCCGCGUGUAUGAAGAAGGCCUUCGGGUUGUAAAGUACUUUCAGCGGGGAGGAAGGGAGUAAAGUUAAUACCUUUACUCAUUGACGUUACCCGCAGAAGAAGCACCGGCUAACUCCGUG
This 490-nucleotide ribosomal RNA is filed under the name uncultured bacterium. RNAcentral describes it as "partial 16S ribosomal RNA". It matches the Rfam family "Bacterial small subunit ribosomal RNA", at positions 30 to 507 of the family's 1533-position model. The record is from RNAcentral.